GGGUUGAGCUGGCACACAGAAUAUCACCACGUCAUGUACAAGGAAUUGCUGACUAUGACCAUGGACCAAGGUCGGGCUUUGAGAUCUCCAGCAACAUCUACCUGUCAUCAAAUAAGUAGAGAUGUCCAAGGCCAGCCUCUUUUGCAGGAGCUUCACUCUAGUUUAAGUAGACAUGCACCUUGUGCUUACAACUCCAGAAGACUGCUAGUACCGACAGCUCGAUGUGUCCAUUUUCUAUACAA
Asterias rubens (European starfish) is the source of this 242-nucleotide long non-coding RNA. RefSeq lists it as uncharacterized. The transcript is spliced from 3 exons. Lineage: Eukaryota; Metazoa; Echinodermata; Asteroidea; Forcipulatida; Asteriidae. The record is from RefSeq and is a predicted model, not a curated record.